GAUGAACGCUGGCGGCGUGCCUAAUACAUGCAAGUCGAACGCAUUGUGGUUGAAAUGAUAUGAAGAACUUGUUCAGAUUUGAUUUUCAACAUUGCAAUGAGUGGCGAACGGGUGAGUAACACGUGGGAAACCUACCUCUUAGCAGGGGAUAACAUUUGGAAACAAAUGCUAAUACCGUAUAAUAAUUAAAACCGCAUGGUUUUAGUUUAAAAGAUGGUCUUGCUAUCACUAAGAGAUGGUCCCGCGGUGUAUUAGUUAGUUGGUGAGGUAAUGGCUCACCAAGACAAUGAUACAUAGCCGAGUUGAGAGACUGACCGGCCACAAUGGGACUGAGACACGGCCCAUACUCCUACGGGAGGCAGCAGUAGGGAAUCUUCCACAAUGGACGAAAGUCUGAUGGAGCAACGCCGCGUGUGUGAUGAAGGUUUCGGCUCGUAAACACUGUUGUAAGAGAAGAAUGAC
This 462-nucleotide ribosomal RNA is filed under the name uncultured bacterium. RNAcentral's name for it is "bacterial SSU rRNA". It matches the Rfam family "Bacterial small subunit ribosomal RNA", at positions 28 to 453 of the family's 1533-position model. The record is from RNAcentral.